Molecule: ribosomal RNA, 127 nt
Filed under: Chaetospermum artocarpi
Lineage: Eukaryota; Fungi; Basidiomycota; Agaricomycetes; Sebacinales; Sebacinaceae
Description: partial large subunit ribosomal RNA
Rfam family: Eukaryotic large subunit ribosomal RNA
Source: RNAcentral
AGGGAAGAGCUCAAAUUUUAAAUCUGACGUCUUCGGCGUCCGAGUUGUAAUCUAUAGAAGUGUUUUCCGCGAUGGACCGUGCACAAGUCUCCUGGAACGGUGCGUCAUAGAGGGUGAGAAUCCCGUA